CCUGCACAAGCUCUCUUUGCCUGCUGCAAUCCACAUAAGAUGUGACUUGCUCCUCCUUGCCUUCCACCAUGAUUGUGAGGCUUCCCCAGCUACGUGGAACUAUGAUUCCAAUGUACAGCCAAUGAUGAGCAGCUGCUGGGCUGAAGGGACUGGGGCCAUUUUAUACCAGGAUGUUACACAGAAAUGCCUGAAAAGCAAGGAGCAGCUAUCAGAAUGUUUGGUGACACAGCUCCUCCUGUCGUGGUUCCUUCGGCAUGGACUUCACAUUCAGCAGAUCCAUGAGGUGUUCCCUUUCGGAUGAGCUCCAAGGUCUUAAGAGAGCAUCUCUAGUCUGCGUGAGUCCGUCUGAACGACGGUCCUGAGCAAGAACCACCUAUAACCAUCUGCUCAAAAUAACUCAGGGGAAGUCAAAGCUUUCUAUGUGGAAGGUGACUGAAACCACAUACACAGACCACUGCAGCAUUCCUGACAUUAUGGAACUUGGAAAUGAUUCCAAACAUGGCCAUAGCUUGAGUAACAUGUUUUGCUAUGACAAGAACUUGGACUGUAGUCCUUCCCCCUCUCAAGAAUGUGACAUCACACCUUAUCAGAUCCUACGAGUGAGCUACUGACCUCAACCACUGAACUUCAAACUAUGUAAAAACCUAAGGGUUCGACAGACACUUUGAGAGCUUGGGCUGUGGCAAGCUACACUCUGUCAGCCUCUCUUCGACAGGGCCCCACCCUGCUAGCCUUUGAACUUGGAAGCAUCGCCCACAAACACCAGUGCCACCCUCUAGCCUUGAGGGACCAUAUAUGUCUCUGUGAAUCUCCGUUGCAUUGGACAGCUUCUCUCCCAAGAGCUGCUCUUAUAAAAGAGACACACCACAUUUUAAUGAGGCUUCGCUCUCCACAGAGGCCUGCUUCCAUCCUAAUUGAGCAAGUAGACUUUAGUAACUUUGGAACUCACUCACCCCGUGACUAAUACACCCUGUCUACCCAGCGCAUUCCCUGUGAGAUUUGUUCAUGUUGUUCUCCCCCUCCUUAAGCAUUGUGAACCUAGGAAAAAUAUCAUCUCUGUAGGGCAAUAAACCAUGUGAUUUGUGAAAU
Molecule: long non-coding RNA, 1089 nt
Filed under: Homo sapiens (human)
Lineage: Eukaryota; Metazoa; Chordata; Mammalia; Primates; Hominidae
Description: HSALNT0302302
Source: RNAcentral